RNAcentral lists this unclassified non-coding RNA (225 nucleotides) under Paraglomerales sp. RNAcentral describes it as "partial contains 5.8S ribosomal RNA and internal transcribed spacer 2". The stretch from base 1 to 65 matches the Rfam family "5.8S ribosomal RNA", at positions 84 to 154 of the family's 154-position model. The record is from RNAcentral. Lineage: Eukaryota; Fungi; Glomeromycota; Glomeromycetes; Paraglomerales.
GUGAAUCAUCGAAUUUUUGAACGCAAAUUGCGCCCUUUUCGGAGGGCAUGUCUGUUUGAGGGCAACAUUUAACAAAAAAUGUGAAUUUCGUGUGCACACGUUGAUGAGCUUUCCAAAUUUAUGUAUUAUUUUUGGUGGCGCAUAAUAAAUAGCGCGAAGCAUUUUUUCAGUUAGAGCGAAGUAAAUUUUUUUAUUGCUUGGGUUGUGAAUAGUGUGAUCGCGCAA